RNAcentral lists this long non-coding RNA (538 nucleotides) under Brassica rapa (field mustard). RNAcentral's name for it is "long non-coding RNA (BRAP_LNC006403)". Lineage: Eukaryota; Viridiplantae; Streptophyta; Magnoliopsida; Brassicales; Brassicaceae. The record is from RNAcentral.
AAGGGUUUAGGGUUUAGGGUUUUAGUGUUUUUUAUUUAGAGUUUAAGAUUUAUCCAAGGGUUUACGGUUUACCCAAAGGUUUAGGGUUUAGGAUUUAGGGUUUAGGGAUUAGGAUUUAGAGUUUAGUGUUUUGUUGACAACGUUAAAAAUAUAUUUUUUUUUAAUUAUUUUUUCUGUAACUAUUAUCUUUUUUUUUACUUUUUUAUUUUAAAAACAUAAUAUAAUUUGAGAAUAUUUUGUUUCCUUUUUUAAAAGAUAUCGAAUUUAAAUAAUGAAAUCCUAUUGGUUGGUGAACCUAAAGGUUCACCCUAGGGAGUGAACCCAAGAAUAACUCUUAAAAUUCAUAGUAUACUCUUUUAUCAAUUUAGUGAUCUUUUAAUAGAAAAAAAAAAUAUUAUAGUCAAAGAAACAAAUAAAAACUUAUUACUGUAGGUAGUUAUUUAUAUUAUAAAUUAAAUACUAUAAUUAGUCAAUUUAUUUUUUGGCGCAUUAUUUAGUGUUUACUAUUUGGUUCUUUUUGUGUGUUAUUUAAUUUUUC